This 422-nucleotide ribosomal RNA is filed under the name uncultured Rikenella sp. RNAcentral describes it as "partial 16S ribosomal RNA". It matches the Rfam family "Bacterial small subunit ribosomal RNA", at positions 355 to 774 of the family's 1533-position model. Lineage: Bacteria; Pseudomonadati; Bacteroidota; Bacteroidia; Bacteroidales; Rikenellaceae. The record is from RNAcentral.
UGAGGAAUAUUGGUCAAUGGACGCAAGUCUGAACCAGCCAUGCCGCGUGCAGGAUGACGGCUCUAUGAGUUGUAAACUGCUUUUAUAUGGGAAUAAUAGUAGCUACGUGUAGUUGCAUGAAUGUACCAUAGGAAUAAGGAUCGGCUAACUCCGUGCCAGCAGCCGCGGUAAUACGGAGGAUCCGAGCGUUAUCCGGAUUUAUUGGGUUUAAAGGGUGCGUAGGUUGCUUUGUAAGUUAGAGGUGAAAUCUUAGGGCUCAACCCUGAAAUUGCCUCUGAUACUGCAGAGCUGGAGUUUAGAUGCAGAGGGCGGAAUGAGUAGUGUAGCGGUGAAAUGCUUAGAUAUUACUCAGAACACCGAUUGCGAAGGCAGCUCUCUAAUCUAUAACUGACACUGAGGCACGAAAGCGUGGGGAGCAAACA